GCAGAGUGCCUGGCAUACAGUAGGUGCUCAAUGAAUGCAUGAAGGAAGGAGAUCGGCCAGGUCCAGCUACAACUAGAUCCAGAGCUAAACUGAUGUCAUCAAGUCUCAGUUUGAAUGAUCCUCUCAGCUCCACUGUUCUUCAUCUUAACUUAAUUCCAAAGUCAUUCCACAGUGGUGAUAUAGCUGCCAGCAGCUACACAAACCCAAAGGCAACAGCCCACAUCCUUCUCCCAGAAGUCCCAUAAAGAGUCUCACUGCUUUUCAUUGGUUCUGAUUGUGGCCGACACUCACCCUUCAUCCAAUCUCUGUGGCCAGGAGAAUCCAGCGCUCUGAUUGGUCAGGCCUGGCUCCAUGGCCACCUGAAGUCCGGGGUGGAGUUAACUCCACCUGCAACACAUGGACUGAUGGAAAAGGGAAAAAGAUCUGGAAAUCCAAAAAGCUUGGAGAGCAAAUUGCAUUUGGUUUCUAUUACACAGUGCAGCAGAUUUAAUUAUUCUUGAAAAAAUUUUUUAUCUUCAAAGGGACUCAAGCUGAAGACCUCCUUUAGGUAUGUCGUCGGUAGAUACCUACCUCCAGUGGCUGGCUUGUUUUAGCCUCAUGGUCAAGAUGAGGAAUCUCAGAGUGGACUGCAGCCCAUGCUCUUUUCCAGAGCGUGUCAGAGGACAGGCUGUCACGAAGGCAGGCUUCACAGUGCCGGUUUCCUGAGACCACGGGAAAUGUGGCUGAAGGGGUCAUUGAUGUCUAACCUCCUGUGUUAUUCUGGGUGCAGUUCUAAUGCCCAGACCAUUGGUGUCCCCUGGAAUGUGCCCUUGGGUCAGAGCAAACUUUAAGUUAUUGUUAAUGAGGUUGUGCAUAUUUGCAUAAACUUUCAAGGUGAAAUAUUUCAGGGUUUUUCUUGUGGCUGGCAUUUGUUUUUCUUUCUCUAUCUUUUCACUUACCACAGUUGAUUCAAACCCCUUAAGCCUGGAAAGGACAUAGGAGCAAAGGGGGACCCCAUAACUGGGGGGCAUGCAAUAAUGGAGGCGUUGAGAGCAAGCCAGAGCUCUGGCCAAAGGUGGUCAGACAAUGGUCCAGAUCCCCGUUAUUAAGCUUCCCCAGGCUUCAUUUGUGGGAGUGGUGGCGGAUUGAAUAUUCCCCCCCCCCCCCAGAAUUCAUAUCUGCCUAGAACCUCAGAAUGUGACAUCAUUUGGAAAUAGAGUCUUUGCAGAUAUAUUAGUUAAGAUGAGAUCAUGCUAGAUUAAGGGUGGGCCCUAAAUCCAAAGGAGAGGAAUCUCAUUCUGUCUCCCAGGCUGGAGUGCAGUGGCAAGAUGUCAGCUCGCUGCAACCUCCACCUCCCGGGUUUGACACACACACACAGGGGAAGAGGGCCUGUGAAGAUGGAGGCAGAGAACGGAGUGACGCAGCGACAAGCCAAAGGGCACUGAGGAUGGCCAGAAGCCGCCAGAGGCUGGAAAAGCAAGAGCAAAGUCUCCCUGGAGCCUGCGGAGAGCCUGGUUCUGCCGAUACCGAUACCGACUUCAGAGUCGUAGACUCCAGAACUGUGAGGGAAUACAGUGCUGUUGCUUUAAGCCAUAGCAUUUGUAUUCAUUUGUUACAACAACCCUAGGAAACCAAUCAGGGGCUCUUAAAGGAAUCCAAGGCCUGAGGCAAAACAUGGGUCAGAGAAUGGAAAUGUGGACACAGAAGUCCCCGUGGAAAUGCCCUGAUGAGACUUGUUUGAAGGAUGAACUUCUGCUCCAAGAUAAUGUGGGCCUGUCCAUGCCACAUUCUUUAUUAGGCCACCAUAUUGGCUCUGCAGUUUGCACCCCCAAGGGGAGAGAAGGGACCGGAAUCCUGUCUAUCUCUCUCCACUGAGCCAAAUGUGCUGGUACAAAGCCUCAUUCCCCUGGAGAAAAGGGUUUCCUUUUCUUGGCUUGAAGGUGCUAACUCUCCUGCCUGUUCCUUAAGCUGUGUGCUGGGGGAGUGAGGCUGUACAGAGGGGCCACCACCAUCUAAUUAACAUGAUGGGCCGGGCACAGUGGCUCAUGCCUGUAAUCCUAGCACUUUGGGAGGCCGAGGCGGGUGGAUCACUUGAGGUCAGGAGUUCAAGACCAGCCUGGCCAACAUGGUGAAACCCUGUCUCCACUAAAAAUACAAAAAUUAGCCGGGCGUGGUGGCAUGUGCCUGUAAUCCCAGCUACUCAGGAGGCUGAGGCAGGAGAAUCACUUGAACCUGGGAGGCGGAGGUUGCAGUGAGCUGACAUUGUGCCACUGCACUCCAGCCUGGGUGACAGAAUGAGAUUCCGUCUCAAAAAAAAAAAAAAUUCACAUGACAGUACCAUAAAGACUAGCGGCCCUGAUCCAGCUGCACACAGCCCUCACUCACAUUGCCCAACCACAGAAUCCCUCAUUUCUUCCACAGGCACCCACACCCAUUCCCCCACCCACACACACGCUUUCAAUAUUCAGCCUCUCCUCAUUUUUCAAUGGUUCCAUAUUUGCAAAUUUGCCUACUUGCUAAAAUUUAUGUCUGCCCCCCAAAUCCAUACUCAGGACACACUCAUGGUCAUUUGCAGACAUGUGCAGAGUGACAAAAAAUUUGGGGUCUCUGGAUGUGCAUGUUUAUAUCUGAGAUCAAACAAGGAAAUGCUCUGCUCUCUUUUUUUCUUACUCUAAAUAAGAGUCCUUUUCAUAGUUUAUGUAGUGCCAUGUUUUUCGCAUUUUUGUGCUUUUUGUUGGUGAUUUUGCCAUUUAAAAUGGUCCCCAAGGGUAACACUGAAGUGCUAUCUAGUGUUGCAUAGCCUGAGAAGGAUGCAAUGCAACUUCCAGAGAAAAUAUGUGCGUUAGGUAAGCUCUGCUCAGGUGUGUCACACUGCAGGUGGCCAUGAGUUCAAUGUACUAAUGAAUCAGCAAUACAUAUCAUAGGAAGUGUCCUUAAACAGAAAGAGAAAUAAAACUGUCAGAGGCGUUCAAACUAGAGUGACUCCAUCUUGAAUAGGGGCUUGGUAAAAUAAGGCCGAUGCCUGCUGGGCUGCAUUCCUAGGUGUUUAGGCAUUCUUAGUCACAGGAUGAAACAGGAGGUCAACAGGACUGAUAUCACAAGAUACAGGUCACAAAGACCCUGCCGAUAAAACAGGAGGCCGUAAAGAAGCCAGUCAAAACCCAUCAAAACCAAGAUGGUGACAAAAGCGACCUCUGGUCAUCCUCACUGUUCAUUAUAUGCUAAUUGUAAUACAUUAGCAGGCUGGGUGCAGUGGCUCACACCUGUAAUCCCAGCACUUUGGGAAGUUGAGGCAGGUGGAUAGCUUGAGCCCAGGAGUUUGAGACUAGCUUGGGCAACAUGGCAAGACCCUGUCUCUACAAAAACUACAAAAAUUAGCUGGGUGUGGUAGCACAUGCCUGUUGUCCCAGCUACUAGGGAGGCUGAGAUGAGAGGAUCGUUUGAUCCUGGGGGUCAGAGGUUGCAGUGAGCCAAAACUGCACCACUGCACUCUAACCUGGGUGACAGAGUGAGACCCUAUCUCAAAUAAUAAUAAUAAUAAUAAUAAUAAUAAUAAUAAUAAUAAUAAUAAUAAUAAUACAUUAGCAUGCUAAAAGACACUCUCACCAGUGCCAUGACAGCUUACAAAUGCCAAGGCAAAGGCUGGAAGCUACCCUAUAUGGUCUAAAAGGGUGAGGGACCCUCAGUUAUGGGAACUCCUCUCCCCUUCCUCGAAAACCCACGAAUAAUCCACCCCUUGUUUAGCAUAUAAUCAAGAAAUAACCAUAAGUUUACUUAGUCGAGCAGCCUCUGCCACUGCUGUGGCUGUGGAGUAGACAUUCUUCUGUUUCUUUACUUCUCUAAUAAACUUGCUUUUGUUUUACUCUGUGGUCUCGCUCGAAUUCUGUCUUGCGUGAGAUCCAAGAACUCUCUCUUGGGGUCUGGAUUGGGACCUCUUUCUUGUAAAAAAACAAGGUUAUGAAUCAAUCAGUUGAUGAAGAUGUUGUGACCAGAGGCUCAUAGGAGCAUAACCCUCUAUUUCCCCUAGGAGCAAUGGUUCAGUAUUCGCCAUUCCAGCAUUCCAGAAAGUUUAUGGAACAUCACUAUAUCCAAUAAUGAGAAUUGCUUAUAUUUUUUCACCCAGGCCCGGUGAGGGGAA
This 4117-nucleotide long non-coding RNA is filed under the name Homo sapiens (human). RNAcentral's name for it is "HSALNT0135974". Lineage: Eukaryota; Metazoa; Chordata; Mammalia; Primates; Hominidae. The record is from RNAcentral.